GCUACGAUGGCCGAGUGGGUAAGGUGUUGGAUUCAAAAUCCAAUGGGUGUUUUCCCUCGCAGGUACGAACCCUGUUCGCAGCC
Pristis pectinata (smalltooth sawfish) is the source of this 83-nucleotide non-coding RNA. NCBI's taxonomy places the organism in Eukaryota, Metazoa, Chordata, Chondrichthyes, Rhinopristiformes, Pristidae. The record is from the annotation of a RefSeq genome assembly.